AUUGGCCAUGGAUAGAUUCAGCUGGGGGUUGUGCCCCUUUGUACCUACUCAGCCCCCAGCCCCCAUUACAGAGGGGUGCUGCACUACCUGGGGGACAAAGGUGCAGGGCAAGCCAGUUCAGGACAUAGAGUCACCCCCACAGGUGGUAUUUGAAGCAGCUCAUUUCCAGAAACUUUCCUCCCAGGUCCAUGAGGGGCCUAGCAGGAGUCAGAGUUCAGUGAAUGACUGGCUGACGAGACAGGUAAGCCACUGGCUCCCCUUUGCAGCUGUCAUCACAUGUUGUAUGAUCCUUCAUCCAACAAGUAUCAGUGUCUCUCUCUUCUCUCUUUAGAAAUGGCUGAUGGUGCCCCUGAAUGUACAGAUUCAGCCCCAGAGUCCUUGCCCAGCCUAGUAACACACUCCUUGCCAUCUGACCUCACUUGCUGGCCUGGCUUCACUUCUUGCUGCACUCCUGCAUGAGUCCUGCCCUCCAGCCUUGCUGCCUGAGUAGAGUGAGCUCCCUCCUUCUUCAGAGAAAUCAUCGACCAUCCUAAACCCAGCCCCUGGAUUUGCUAGACAGCUACGGAUGAAAAUUGGGAGAAAUCUAUGCAGAGCAAGUGAGAAUGUCUGUUCUCAGAGAUCAAGGACUAUGUUGUUCUUUCCUGUUACUUUG
Molecule: long non-coding RNA, 652 nt
Filed under: Heterocephalus glaber (naked mole-rat)
Lineage: Eukaryota; Metazoa; Chordata; Mammalia; Rodentia; Bathyergidae
Description: lncRNA (ENSHGLG00100051125.1)
Source: RNAcentral